AACGAGGAGGUUGCCGGCGGCGAUUCGAGAAAAGGCAGCACCGGGGAGAGGCCAUCACGCCGCCUGGAUCUGGAGGCAAGCUCCACGACGAAGGGCGCCUGCCUUUCUUCCGCCCAUGGUCUCCACCGGCUUCCCUUCCACCGCUGCCGAUCUGCUCCACGUUGGCGAGCUAUACGGAGGAGCCAACAUCCUUCGUCCUCGUCGGCGGCCGCCGUUCCGCCUUUGUCCGCAGGCGGCCUCCAGAUCGCCACCAUCGCCCACGCCUGCUGCCCUCGUCCGCCGCCCGUGGAGGACGCUGAGGAGGGGCAGAGUGAGAAUCCGGAUGCAGUAUCAAUGCAGAUGAGGAUUAUACUGACAACGAUGUACAUUGAGACCUUUAUUGUUCAGUCUAUUGGCACAAAUCCCUGUUCUUGGUGCAGGAUUGAGAUUGUUGUUCUAAUUGCUCAUGUGCACAUGGCAUGUCCUUCACUAGUUCCGCAGGUGCGGAUCAAGGACACCAAGGGAGUUUUCAUCGAUGAAUAA
Molecule: long non-coding RNA, 522 nt
Filed under: Oryza sativa Indica Group (long-grained rice)
Lineage: Eukaryota; Viridiplantae; Streptophyta; Magnoliopsida; Poales; Poaceae
Description: lncRNA OsMH63_10G001560
Source: RNAcentral